This 446-nucleotide ribosomal RNA is filed under the name uncultured bacterium. RNAcentral's name for it is "partial 16S ribosomal RNA". It matches the Rfam family "Bacterial small subunit ribosomal RNA", at positions 338 to 795 of the family's 1533-position model. The record is from RNAcentral.
CCUACGGGAGGCAGCAGUCGAGAAUCAUGGACAAUGGGCGAAAGCCUGAUGCUGCGACGCCGCGUGAGGGAAUGAAGGUCUCCGGAUUGUAAACCCCUGUCAUGUGGGAGCAAAGAAGAAAGGUAGUACCACAAGAGGAAGAGACGGCGAACUCUCGGCCACCAGCCGCGGGAAUUCAGAGGUCGUAAUGGGUGUUCGGAAUCAAUGGGCUUGAAGCGUGGGGAGGAUGGUGCGUAAGGUGGGCGGGAAAGGCGCGGGGUUAAACCGCGGUCGGCAGAUGAUACUGGUGGUCUAGAGUACUGGAGGGGUAACCGGAAUGCGUGGUGUAGCAGUGAAAUGCGUAGAUAUCGCGCAGAACACUCGUGGCGAAGGCGGGUUCCUGGACAUCAACUGACGCUGAGGCACGAAGGCGAGGGGAGCGAACGGGAUUAGAUACCCGUGUAGUC